This 428-nucleotide ribosomal RNA is filed under the name uncultured soil bacterium. RNAcentral's name for it is "bacterial SSU rRNA". It matches the Rfam family "Bacterial small subunit ribosomal RNA", at positions 26 to 458 of the family's 1533-position model. The record is from RNAcentral.
AGGACGAACGCUGGCGGCGUGCCUAACACAUGCAAGUCGAACGGGGCCCGCAAGGGUUCAGUGGCGAACGGGUGCGUAACACGUGAAGAAUUUGUCCAACGGCGGGGGAUAGCCGGCCCAACGGCCGGGUAAUACCGCGUACGACCCUCGAGGGGCAUCCCUUGAAGGUGAAAGCCGCAAGGCGCCGAUGGAGAACUUCGCGGCCUAUCAGCUAGUUGGUGAGGUCAUGGCUCACCAAGGCGACGACGGGUAGCUGGUCCGAGAGGAUGACCAGCCACAUUGGGACUGAGACACGGCCCAGACUCCUACGGGAGGCAGCAGUGGGAAUAUGCGCAAUGGGCGAAAGCCUGACGCAGCGACGCCGCGUGGUGGGAUGGACGGUCCGUUCGGGUUCGUAAACCACGUGUCCGGCGGAGGGACGAAGACUC